Molecule: long non-coding RNA, 20747 nt
Filed under: Manihot esculenta (cassava)
Lineage: Eukaryota; Viridiplantae; Streptophyta; Magnoliopsida; Malpighiales; Euphorbiaceae
Description: long non-coding RNA (MESC_LNC000401)
Source: RNAcentral
UUCCUUAGUAUCAAUCACAUAAAAAUCAGCAGGAAAGACUAGUUCAUUUACUUGAACUAACACAUCUUCUAGAACACCUAUGGGAUAUACCACAGAUCUAUCAGCUAGUUGAAUCACAACUCUUGUUUCUUUGAGUGCACAUGCAUUGAGAGAUUUAUAGAUGGAGAGAGGCAUGACAUUUAUGGAUGCACCAAGAUCACACAUGGCUUUCCUUAUACCAACAUUCCCUAUCUUGCAAGAGAUAGCAAACAUACCUUUGUCUUUGCACUUAGUAGGGAGUUCUCUUUUAAUAACAGCAGUCACAACCUCACCUACACUUACUUUUUCUCUCUCUGCAAGCUUUCUCCUAUUAGUGCAAAGUUCCUUCAGAAAUUUAGCGUACCUGGGAAUCUGCUUAACAGCAUCUAGCAGAGGUAUAUUGAUUUGUACUUUUCUGAAAGUGUCAAGGAUCUCCUUUUCUUCUUUUUCUUUUUGUGUUCUUUCAAAUCUCUUGGGAAAAGGAGGUGGAAUGUGAAAGCUUACAUUUGGGUCAGUCUUUUGCGCAGGAGGAGCUGCGGAUUGCGAUGAAGAGGCUUCAGAUCGCCUUGGAUGUUGUGCAGAGGGUGUCUCAGAUGAUGUACGCUUUGGUUCAACUUGCUUUUCCUCCUCAAAUUUUGCAUCUUGAAGCUCUUUCCCACUUCUCAAAGUAAUGGCACUUACAUUUUGAUUGGGAUUUGCCUCAGUUUGGGAUGGCAACUUUCCUUGAGUUUCCAAUCUGUUUAUGGAGGUGGCCAUUUGUCCUAUCUGUUGUUGUAUCAUUUGCAAGGUCUUCACUACUUCAUUCAUAGUGUUAUUGUCCACUGGAGGUGCUGGUUGGACUUGGCUUCUUUGGUAACCUUGGUGAUUCUGAUCAGUGUUGCCCUUUCCAUAGCUGAAAUUGGGAUGGUCUCUCCAACCUGGAUUAUAGGUGUUGGAGUAUGGAUCAUAUCUAGGCUGGUUGUUGUACCUCCCAAUGGCGUUGGCUUGCUGAUGGUCUUCUUGGAGUGUGGGACAUUGAUCAGUUGGGUGUCCCACACAUAAACAAAUCCCACAUGGCCUAGGUGGCUGGGGUGCUUGAAUCUGUUGUACCACAUCCACCACAGCAUUUUUUAUAACAGAUGUUAGUUCAGACAUAGAAGGAAAAUUUACCUCAUUGGCCCUUUGUAGUUGCCUCUCUUCUCCAUAUUGCCUAGAUGAGGCUGCAAGAGUGGAGAUUAAUUCUCUCAUUUGUCUAGGUGUUUUGUCUUCAAUGGAGCCUCCACAGGUUACAUAAAUGAAUUUUCUUUCUGAGGGAGAUAAUCCUCCAUAGAAGAAUUGUAUAAGGGCCUUGUCUGACAUGUCAUGUUGAGGGCAUUCUGUGCAAAGUCUUUCAAACCUUUCCCAAUAAUCAUAAAGGUCCUCAGAUGGUUUUUGCUUUAUGCUUGUGAUUUCCCUUAUUAUGCCAAUUGAUUUAUGGGUUGGGAAGUAUUUAUUCAAAAAGGCUUUGACCAUAUCAUCCCAAGAAGUAAUAGAUCCAGGUGGCAAGUAAAAUAACCAAUCUUUAGCAAAGUCUUCUAAUGAAAAGGGGAAGGCUCUUAACUUAAUUUGGUCUUCAGAGAUACCUUGAGGUUUCAUAGAUGAACAGAUCAUAUUGAAUGCUUUUAAGUGCUUGUGUGAAUUUUCAUUUUCUCUACCUCUAAACUUAGGGAGAAUGUGUAUCAAACCUGUCUUCAGUUCAAAGGGAACUGUCAGAAGUGGGUAGGUGAUGCAAAGUGGUGCAUAGUCACCUACAGGGGUUGCCAAUUCUCCCAUAGUUCUUUCUCUUUGUUCUUAAGGCCUAUUUGCUGGAUUUUCUUGGACUAUUUGAUUCUGGAUAGCAAGUCCAUUUGGGGCAGCAUCUUGUGGAAUAGGUUCAGCCAUUGGUGCAGCUUGUUGGUAAAAUUCGGUUGCUUCAGAUGAAGCUUCUGCGGCUUGCUUUCUAAGUCUUCUGAGAGUGCGUUCAAUUUCUGGAUCAAAGGGCAGUGUGUCCCUGUGUUCAGAUCUGGUCAUGAAAAAAAACAAACAAACAAGUGAAAUCAACUCCCCGGCAACGGCGCCAAUUUUUGACUCGCGGUUGUCUAAGCCGGUCAAAAAUAACCUUCCUGGUUAUCAACAAUUUUACAACUGCAGAUAGUGGUGAAAGGAUCGAAUCCACAGAGAAUUGAUUACCUAUUUAUUUUUCUCAACAAGACCAAUAAAAUGAACUGAAACAAUAAUAAAUUAAAGAUGAGAUAAAAGACUGAAAGUGGGAUCAAAUGAGAUAAACUGGAAGCAGAAUAAAAAUAAAUUGCAAUAAAAGUAAAAUGGGGGGGGUUUGAGAUUGAUUGUAGUAACUAAUAAUGAGAGUAAUAAUAGAAAGCAAAUAAUUAAAAUAAAAGAGUAAAUCAAUAUGAGAAAAGCCUAGUUGAAGAUAUGUAUCCACUUUGGUUGUUUGGGUUGAUCAUUGAAACUUAAAUUAUCUUGAUUGGUUCAAUAGAUUAGUUAUGGGGGUGGAAGACGCUUCUCACCACCAUGUCUCUCCUUAUGAUUAAAUUAAUUAGGGAACGUCCUCUAAUUAAUUACUAAUUAAUAAAUUGCCAAGGAACGUCCUUGGGCCAUAGGCAUCAAAACAAUUGUCAAUUGCAUAAAGAAAUAGAGAGAUCCAAUCCUAACUACCCAAACGUAUGGAGAUAACGCUAGAUCAUGCAAUUCCUUGGUUCUUACGCCAAGUGUUCUAAGGUCAGAAUAUUUCCAGCAAUUACGGACUAAAAAUAAUCCCAACUAACAAUCAAUUAACUUUGCAAUUAAAACCAAGUGGCCAAUUUGAUCAAAACAACAAAAUAAUCAUAUAAUUAAAGCAUCAAUUGCAUAAAUAUUGAAUAAAACCAAAGACAAUAAUUUAUGUUCAGAUCUCACAACCCAUUAAACAACCUUAGUUUCAACAAAUCCUCAACUAGAUAAAAGAAAUUAGCCACUCAUUGGCUAAAUUAAAAACAUAAAAAAUAAAAAGGAAAAAGAAAGGAACCGANNNNNNNNNNNNNNNNNNNNNNNNNNNNNNNNNNNNNNNNNNNNNNNNNNNNNNNNNNNNNNNNNNNNNNNNNNNNNNNNNNNNNNNNNNNNNNNNNNNNNNNNNNNNNNNNNNNNNNNNNNNNNNNNNNNNNNNNNNNNNNNNNNNNNNNNNNNNNNNNNNNNNNNNNNNNNNNNNNNNNNNNNNNNNNNNNNNNNNNNNNNNNNNNNNNNNNNNNNNNNNNNNNNNNNNNNNNNNNNNNNNNNNNNNNNNNNNNNNNNNNNNNNNNNNNNNNNNNNNNNNNNNNNNNNNNNNNNNNNNNNNNNNNNNNNNNNNNNNNNNNNNNNNNNNNNNNNNNNNNNNNNNNNNNNNNNNNNNNNNNNNNNNNNNNNNNNNNNNNNNNNNNNNNNNNNNNNNNNNNNNNNNNNNNNNNNNNNNNNNNNNNNNNNNNNNNNNNNNNNNNNNNNNNNNNNNNNNNNNNNNNNNNNNNNNNNNNNNNNNNNNNNNNNNNNNNNNNNNNNNNNNNNNNNNNNNNNNNNNNNNNNNNNNNNNNNNNNNNNNNNNNNNNNNNNNNNNNNNNNNNNNNNNNNNNNNNNNNNNNNNNNNNNNNNNNNNNNNNNNNNNNNNNNNNNNNNNNNNNNNNNNNNNNNNNNNNNNNNNNNNNNNNNNNNNNNNNNNNNNNNNNNNNNNNNNNNNNNNNNNNNNNNNNNNNNNNNNNNNNNNNNNNNNNNNNNNNNNNNNNNNNNNNNNNNNNNNNNNNNNNNNNNNNNNNNNNNNNNNNNNNNNNNNNNNNNNNNNNNNNNGCCCAUAGGCAUUAAAACAAUUGUCAAUUGCAUAAAGAAAUAGAGAGAUCCAAUCCUAACUACCGAAACGUAUGGAGAUAACGCUAGAUCAUGCAAUUCCUUGGUUUUUACGCCAAGUGUUCUAAAGUCAGAAUAUUUCCAGCAAUUACGGACUAAAAAUAAUCCCAACUAACAAUCAAUUAACUUUGCAAUUAAAAUCAAGUGGCCAAUUUGAUCAAAACAACAAAGUAAUCAUGUAAUUAAAGCAUCAAUUGCAUAAAUAUUGAACAAAAUCAAAGACAAUAAUUUAUGUUCAGAUCUCACAACCCAUUAAACAACCUUAAUUUCAACCAAUCUUCAACUAGAAUUAAAGAAAUCAGCCACUCAUUGGCUAAUUUAAAAACAAAAUAAUAAAAGGAAAAUAAAAGAGGAAGAAGGAACCGAAAUUGAAAUCUUGAAUUCUGCCUCCCUGCGGAAUUCGCCGAUUUGAGGAAUUGAAUUGUGCCUUUAAGGUCCCUUAAAUAGAGUGCAGAGGAGCCCUAGUUGCCAUCCACGCACGCGGUCCUGUGCGUGAGUGGAUCAGGUGUGGUGAUGUGCUGGGACGGGCGAGUGGACGCGCGGAGCCUGGAGUGCGCGAUCUGAGGUCCACGUGAGGAAAUGGCCUUGGUCCAUGUGAGGGAGUGCUUCGGCGGGCCUUGCGCUCGGGUGGAUCCACGUCCAUGUGAAGGAAUUGAUGGAGCUGGCGGGGCGUGAUUGUGUGGAGCGCGAGUACGUGAAUUUCGGUCCUCGCGCGUGAAUGGGCUGUCCACGGAGUGAAUUGCUGAAGAAGUGCGCUUGGUUGUGUUACUGGACUUGUGACGUGAGCGUCUCAUGUGCUGUGAAUGGGGAAGCGCGAGCCCAUGUGAGUGUUGAGCGGAUCCAUGGUAAAAAUUAUGAAGUGGCUAGGCGGGGCCCCCGUGCGUAGAGGUGCGGAAGCUUUGCAAUGCAUGGCCUAUUGCGUGAGUGGCUUGUGUGGAUUGGGUGCUGCUUGGCCCAUGUAAGAAUGGGCUGAUCCGUUAAUGGUCCCAUGUGCUGAGUGAUGAAGACUUUGGCGGGCUUGCUUUCUUUUACUCUAAAUAGGGCAGUUUUAGAAAAUUUUCUUUAAAUUAUCCUUUUAUACCAAAAUAAUAUUAAAAAUAAUAAAUUACAUAGAAAUCAUGUAAAUAUUUAUCAAUAAUAUUAAUAUAAAAUGGAUUAAAUUAUAUUCUAUCAAAAUAUAUAUAUAUAUAUAGAAGGCAUUGUACAUAUCCAAUAUGAAAAAUAUAAUUUUCUAUUCUUAUUUAUUGUUUACUGCAUCAAGUUUUAUAGAGGUAUUUUUAUCAAUAAUUAGUUUUCUUUGUUUAUAGAAAUGAAGUAUAAAUUAUCCAAUCAUUUGUUAAUCCUUAUAAAAAAAAACUUUAAAAAGGAAAUGUGACAAAAGGUAUGAGAUUCAUGCAAAAUUAUAAUUCAAAUAAUAAAUAUAUUAACCUAUACAAUCUGAUAAUAGAUAUUUAAUUUAAAAAAAUUUUGACCUCGUUAUUGCUCCUCUAUCUAAAAAAGUAUUACUUUAAUAAAAUAUAGGUAAUAGAGUUAAAAUAAUAAAUUUUCUUUAUUAUUUUUCUAGUAUAUUUAUGCAUUUAUAUUACUUCAUUAAAAAUAAAAAUAAAAAUUCAUAUUAUUAUUUUGUUUUAUAGAACUAAUGAAUUUCACCUUUUUACUGAAUUAUAAUAAACUAAUAAAUAAAUUAUUAUAUGAAUAAAAAUUUAUAAUUUAAAAAUUAUAUCUAUUUUUAUAAAUGCAGGGAAUAUUUCAACGUGCAUUCCAUGUUAUUAUUCUUGAUAUGCAUGAUCGUUAUUUAAAUAAAAUAAAAUUAUAUCUAUUUUAUAUAAUUAUUUUUAUUUUUUUAUAUUUUUCAUUUAUUUUUAAAAUUUUGAAAAUAGUAAUAACAAUUAAUUUUAUAAGUGAUUAUCCAACACUAUCAAUUCUAUUAAUUGAAAAGUAUUUAUUAUAUUUUUUUAAUUAAUCAUUAAUUAUUAUACUUUUACCAAUAAAAUAAAAAAUAUUAGACAAUUAUUUGAGAAAUAACUGUUGCAUUUCUCUAAAAAUUUAUAUCAAUAUUAAUUUUUUAAGCAAAUACAGACAUUAAUAUAUUAUUGUUUUUAAAGUUUAAACACUAAUUUUUUUCUCUCUUAUCACUUUGUUUUCUUAUUUCCUUCAAUGAAUUAUUCCCCCGACAUCUAUUGAGCUAUAUAUAUUUAAAUUAUUAUUUUACUUUUAAAUAUUAAUUCUAAAAAAUAAAUGUGUUAUUAAAAAUAAAAUAUUUUUAACAUUUUAUUAAAUUAAAUUAAAAUAAAUCAAAUUAACGCGCUAAAUACAAACAUUCGACGCACAAAAUUAUCACAUUCAAUUAAUUAUAAAAUAAUUUAUUAUUAUAAAAAAUGUUUAAAAUAAUGAUUACAAAUUAUUAUUUAUAUUUAAACUGUAAUUACAAAUCAAGCGUAAUAAUUUAAAAAUCACUAAAAAAUAUAAGAAUUUACUUAUAUUUUCACUAUGAUUAAAAAAUACAAUUAAAAUUAUAAUUUUAUUAAAUAUAAAAUAAAUUAUUUAUUGAAAUAUAUUAUUAUAUAUAAUAAAAAAUUAAAAUUUCUUUUCAGUUAAGAUAAUAAUUUUAUAAUAUUUAUUAUAAUAUUACUCUAUAAACCCAAAAAUAUAGUAGGAUUACAAUCACAUAUCACAUUCAAAAAGAGUUGUGUGGAGUAAGAAUUUUCCUUUAAAUUCCUCUAAUUACCAAAUUAAUAAAUGCAAUUACACUAGAUUAAACUUCUAAAAAUAUUGUAAUCAUAUCAAAUUUAAUGAUAAAACUGAAAAUGCUAUUAACUCAACUAGCAAAAUACAUACUAUCUAAAAUGCAAAAUUAACUAGAAUGAGUAUAAAUUAAUUGUUUUUUUUUUUUAUUUCUUUUGAACAUAAAAUUUAGAUAAUGCAUCACUCUCCCUAGGCUAGCUGCUCUAAUUAAAGUUUGAUUGCAGAUCAAUUUACAUCUAAUUGAUUUAUGUGUUGAUGUGAAACUGCAAACUAAUUAAAUAUCUUUAACACAAAAGAGUUCUAAGAUAAUUUAAGUUUAACCAAAUCAAUGAAUUAAACCUAAAUAUAUAUUCAUAAUUACACUAUUAAAUUUAAAACAUUAUGUCAAAAAAUUUAAUUCCAAAUUACAAUUUUAAAUUACCACAUGAAGUUGGACAAAAAUCACAUUCAAAAAAAAUUUGAUAAUUGAAAUCAAUAAAUCAGUAAUAGAAAUUUAUUAAAAUUAAUUAAAUCAACAGAAUCUUAAUGUAAGAGGUAGUUAUGCUAAAUAGGUACGCAGUCGGUCGAUUUGAUUUAAAAUCGAAUUGAAAUAAAUAAAUUAAAAAUUAAAAUUUUAGUUUUUAUAAAAAACAAUAAAAUCGAUUUUGAUUAGAAAUUAAAUCGAACUGAACCGGUUUGAUUGGGUUUGAAUUUUUAAUAAUUUUUUUUAUUUUUUUACAUUUUAUUUUUAGUAUUUUAAAAUUUAAUUGAAAUAUUUUAACCUUAAUCUAAUCUCUAUAUUAUUGAAAAUAAUAUACUAUUAUCACUAAUUGGUUCGAUUCGAUUUUUUUUAUUUUUUCUGAUAAAAAUUAAACCGAAUUAAAAUAAUCAAAAUUUUUGAAAUUAAAAACUGAAUCAAAUUAUAAUAAAUAAAAAAUCGAACCGAAUUUUUAAAUUAAUUUGGUUCGAUCGAUUUUUUCAAUUUGAAACGAAUACUAUCCACCCCUAAUGCUAAACCGCUAAAAAAAAUUAUAUAAUUUUACAUUAAAAAUAAAAAUAAAUAAAUGAAAUAAUAUAUUAUGAAAAUAAAUAAAUAAAGUAACUAUUUAAAGCUUGUUGGCUUCCUUUAAUGUUGUCUCUUUGAAAACCAGAUUGGUUAAUUUUGGUUAAACACAUAAUUCGAUCCCUCAAUUUUAUAUAAAAAAUCAAUUGGUAUCUAACUCUUUAUCGUUGAUUUUGGCUUUUGAUUUUUAUAAAUUAAAAUUAAAUUUAUUUAAUAUUUAAAUUUUAUAAAUGUAAUUAUUUAAAAAUUAUAAAAUAUAAUUAUUUUAAUUCUUAAAAUUUUGAAGUGAGUAUAAACCAAGUAUAAAUAUAAAAAAAUAUUUAAUAUUUAUUAUUUAUUAAUUUGCUCUACUUCACAUGAGAAUAUGCUUGAUAGGCAUUAUAGGUAAUACUUGCAUUCAAAAUUCUUAAAUUCAAGAUAUAAACUGUUUUAAAAAAAUUCAUUAUAUAUAUUUCAAUUAAUUUUGCCCAAAUUUAUAUAUAAAUAUUUAAUAUAAAAAUGUUUUAAGUUUAAUUUUAUAUUGGAUCAAAUUUAUAUUAAAUGUAAAAAAAAUAAUUUUUAGUAACAAGAUUCUUUUAAUUGCUGUGAAAAUAAAAAUUAGGUUACAACAAAUAUUAGAAUUAAUAAUAAAAAAUUCUAUAAUAACAUUAAUUUUAUUAUUAUAUUAACUAACAUAUAAUAAUAAUAUUUAUAGUUAUUAUUAUUGAUGCAUAAAAUGAUAUACUAAAUAAAAAUUUUAGAUAUUAUUAAAAAGUUAUUACAGUAAUAUUUAUUGAUUUUCAUAAUUAUUUUUUAGAAGCAAGAAAAAUUUUUAAAUUAAAAAAAAAUUCCUUCAUUUUAAAUCAAUUAAAUUAAAUUCUUAUAAAAUUCUUAAUUUGAAACAGAAUAUUAAAAAUAUAUCAAUAAUAAAAUUUAAUGGCACUAAUAAAAAAAUACAUUUAAUUAACAGUAAUAUAUUGCUUUAAAUUGUUUUUUUAACAAUAAUAAUUACAAUUUUAUAUUAUUAUUAUAAAUUUAUAACAUGAAAUAUAUACUUUUAAUAACAAAAAUUUUUAUUCUAAUUUGACUAUUUUCUUAUGGUGAUAAUAAUUUCAAAAUAUUAUUAUUAUUAUUAUUAUUAUUAUUGGCUUGCAUAUUAAUAAAUGAAAACAGUUGGAUAUCAUAGGGUACAGCCAGUUACAGAUGUAGAGCAUUAACAAGGCAUAUUCUAGCUUGGUGGCCAGUAUUAAUUAAUAGGACAUUGUAAGAUGCUAUCAUAACAAUUAUUGAGACUCUUAGCUCAAAUUUAUAGGUUGCUCAACUCAAAGCAAAAGUCCAAAUGGUAGCUGGAUCAGAUUUUCCAUCUUUCCUUUGCUUCCUACUUCAUAAUUGCUUCCUCCCUCCAUAAAUAAAACUACGUACAUUUAUACAUUUAAUUUUUGUGUCCAUUAUUUUACAAAAGAUUUAUUGCUUGUUUGCUUGUAAGGGGAAAUGAUAUUAUUAUCAUAUGGUUUUCUGAUUUAUUGAGCUUUUUUUUUCUUUUUAAUAUUUAAAAUUCUUAAUAAAAAUUGGAUGAGACUCGAAUUUAAUAUCCAAAAAUUAAAUGUUAUACUUUUUAACCAAUCGAAUUAGAUUGCAUAGGCUGAUUUACAGAUUUCAUACACCAAUAUAGGUAUAUGGGAGAUUUUUUUUUCUUUUAAUUGGAUAUCAUUUUGGUUUCAUUUUAUAGUUUAAAAAUUAUUUUUUGAAAAUUUAGGUUUUCGUCUUGAGAUUGCAGUAAUUAUUUGUACUAUUGCAUCCGUCACACUUAUUAGUAACUCUUUGCUUGUGUUUGGAUAUAAUUAAUAUAUAUAUAUAAUAUUAUCUUUUACUUUUUUUUCGUUUCAUAAUUUUUAUUCAUUUUUUUUUAUACAUAUUAAAAAAUAUAAUUUUUUUUUAUUAAUUUUUUAAUUAUAUAUAUCUUAAAUAUAUUAAAUUUUAUUAAAUAUUAAAAAAUAUUUUGAGAGAUUUUUUGAAAAUAAAAUAAAAUCAUAAUAGUAAAUUUAUAUGUUAUUAGAGUUUUUUAAAAAAAAAGCGGAUAAUAAUUUUAAUAAAAAAAGAUAAAUAAAAAUUAUUAAACGAAAGAAAUAUUUAAUAUUAACCUAUUAUUAAAUACUUAAUUUUAUAAAAAUUUAUAUUAAUUAAACAUAAAUUGGGCAUAUUAUCAGUGAUUUAUCAAAAAAAUAAAAAAAAUAUCUCAAUUUAGUACUUACUAUCCGUUAAAUUUUACAAAAUUUACUCUAAAUCUUACGAACUUUUAAAGAACGUAAACUAUUCUUACAUUAUCAAGAGUAACUUUAUCAUUCUAUAAAAAUUAAGAGUGUUGUUAGUGAUGUUGCGGAGAUUAGAUUGAUGACGUGGUCGAAAUAAAACUAUGUUAUGAUUGGCUAGAAUGUGUAAGGAAGACAAAGUGGGGUGGUGGACAGCUACUUCGACGCUCAAAUCAGUAUACUAUAAAACAGAGAUAAUACAAUAGUUUGCUUAGAACUUGAAUGGAAUCAGAGAAUAGAAUACUUUUAUCUCUAUGAUCCUUCUCCUUUUAUACUAUAAAAAUGUGGAGAUAAAUAUAGUAUUUCCUGAUAAUCCGACAAUGAUGUAGUUGGCUGUUUGAUAAGAGAUAUCGCCUGUUAAUAGGUUGUAAUCCCGCAAUUACAGGCGUAAUGGAGAUACUUGGAAUGUGCUUGAUAAUGGUAACCUUGUACCGAGACACGUCCUAUCUAGGGGAGGGUGAGUCUUGAUGAUGAACCGAGUGUUAAAGUAUCCAAGUCUUCCUUUCUUUGGGCGGGACUACAUCACUUACUUAUCAGAUUCUUGCCAUGUAGCCUAGUCUCGUGGUGAUAGCUCAUAGCCUACUUUGGGCGAUUGUUAUGUAGCAUCAAAGGUUCCUCCAUUAGUCUUCAAUUCUUCAAAUUCAAAGGAGAUAGCUAUUCUCGAGGUUUAAAGCACGUGGCCACCUGAGAUUGGUUUUUUGCUGUUCAUGCCGUUUCGCCUGUCUAGCCCCUUAAUGAUGACCGCAUUGCUUAUCAUGUUGCAUUUAAAACCUGUCGUCAAAACUGUAAUACCCGGCUAGACUCUAGUAUCGGAAUUCCUACCGUCCGGUGGAAUCUCGGAUGUCGAAAACCUCUAGAAGGGUAAAACCAUGUUUUUAUAAAAUGUUUUCAUGUAUUUUAUGGUUUUAAGUAAGAAAGAAAUUGAGUUUUGAAUGAAAAAGACCAUGGAGGGAAAUCCAGGUUCGGCCGCCGAACCUCAUGUUCGGCCGCCGAACUUGCAUGAGUUUUGGAGGCACUUUAGGCUUCCGAAGGUGGCCUGGCCAGCCCCUAUAAGAAGCCCCAUAGCCGAAAAUGGGCGAGUUUCUUCCCCAUUUCCGGCCAGAGGUGAGUCCAUGCUCUCCCAUGGUUGAUUUUGAUGAUUUUCCUCAAAUCUUUCAAGUUUUAACAAGUGUUUACUUGGUUUUUGAAGUUUUUGGAACUAAGAUCAAGUUGUGGAGCUUGGAGACCCAAGGAGCUAGAUUUCUCCUACCUCUAUGUUAAGGAUCGUUUAUCCUCUCGAUCUUCAAGAGGUAAGCUUAGAUCCUACCCUUCUUGUAUGUUUUAAGCAAGUUUUAUGAUGGUUUAGAGGGUAGAGAUGCAUGUUGAGGUUGGUUGAUUGUUGAUAGGGUUUAUGUUGAGUUUGUGGUUAAAGUAUGUUAUUUUGAGUUGUUUUGUGUGUUGUUAGGGUUUAGGUUAGUUUGAGACCCCUAUAUGCUUAUUUGUUGGUGUAUGCAUGUUGUAGAAUAGCUAAAUGCAUGUUUGAUUGGUUUGAGAGGCAAAAUGUGCAUGAGGAGGCUGAGUUCUGCCCUUUGGAAGAACUCAGGUUCGGCAGCCGAAGGCACUUUCGGCCGCCGAACCUGCCUGUGGAGGCAAGCCUUUGGCUGCCGAACCCUGUCCCCGAAAGUGGACUUUCGGCUCUGGAGGGGAGUUUCGACCGCUGAAGGUGCCGCCGAACAUGCAUGAGUUUCGGCUCUGGAACCACUUUCGGCCGCCGAAGGUGCCGCCGAAGGUGCCGCCGAAGGUGGCUGAGUUUCGGCUCUUGAGGGACUUUCGGCCGCCGAACCUGCCGCCGAAAGUGCCCUGUUCAGCCUUCCUUUGCAUGAUUUCUAUGAUUGUUUUAAGGUGUUUUUGGGGGUUUUUGGGGAGUAUUUUAGAGUCAUGUUCAUGUAUGUUUAGUCCCUCAUUUGAGUCCACCUGUGUAGGUUCGGACCCGAGGAAUCGAGGACCCCAGCAGUGAGAUAGCUGCUUCAGUGUCUUUUCAAAGCUAGCUUGAGGUGAGUGGAAUGGACCUUUAUUUCCAAAACAAAUAAACAAAUUUGAGCAUGUUCAUGCAUUACGAAUGCCAUGUGAUAUUUUAGGUUGUUUGCAUUAGAAUUCACGAAUAUGUUGCAUUGCAUAUUAUGUUGUUAAUGAGGAUGAACAUUGAGUGAUCUAUUAGCCCUUGUAUGGUAUGGUAUGAUAUGAUGAUGAUAUGAUAUGAUAUGGUAUGGUAUGUAAAACCAGUGAGACCCAUUCUACGCCCCUGGCAUGAUGUAAGAGAAAGACCAGUGAGGCCCAUGCUACGCCCUUGGCACGUUGGUAUGUUAUGUUAUGUUAUGCUAGGUUAAGAGAAAGACCAGUGAGGCCCAUUCUACGCCCCUGGCACGAUUGAAAUGUGUAGAGGGCUAUUGGUGACAAGUUCAUCCUUGAUGUGAUGCAUUCCAUAAUAGCAUAUGUUUUAAAUGUUUUUACUAUUCUACUCACUGGGCUCUAGUAGCUCACCCCACUCCCCUAACCCCAGGUUUGCAGGUACGGGAUAGACCAGGAUGUCAGCAGGAGUAAAGUUAUGUUUAUGUAAUAGCUAGUUGUGGACAUGAAAAAGUACAGUAAUGUAAUGUAAUGAUGUUUAUUGAGGUUUAGAGUUGUACUUGACCCUAGUAUAUUGGUUAAUCCCUUUUUAGUACAUGAUCUUUUAAUGAAAUGAUUUAUUGAUGUUUAUGUAAACCAAGCUUAAUGUAUGAUAUGUUGCCCCAUUGGAGCAUUUGAUGAGGGCUCCAAUGUGGGGUUUUAUGUUUCUGAGUUUGUGCAUGCAUAGAUUAAGCUUGGUAAAUGAAUGAAAAAGUUUAAAGUUUUUAUGUAUGUGUUUGAUCAUGUAUGGGAUUUAACAGGUAUACAGGAUGUAUGUUAGGCUUGCUACGGGUCCCGGCGGCCUUAUGCUGAUCUAGAUCCUAGCGCCGGUAGCGGUCCGGUUUUCGGAUCGUUACAGAUUGGUAUCAGAGCACUAGGUUCAUAUGGUCAGACCUAGAGAGUGUCGGGCUCAUAGAUGUUCUAGAAGGGCAAGCACAAUAGGAAAAUCAUGUCUACUAGGAUAGGAUGUAGAGUCCUGUCUUGAAUAAUGAUGUGAAAUGCCAUGAUUUUAUGCAUGUGCAUUGAUGAUAUGCUAUGUAUGAGUUGUAUGUGAUGCAAGUUUAUGUGUUUUCACAUGAACCAUGUGAUGCUAAUGUUUUAUGUGAUGUGUACUGUUUUUCAGUAAACAGGAUGAGAAGAACUCGUCGAUCUGCACGAUUGACUGGAGUAUCACCUCAGGAUGAGGGCACGGACGCCCGUCCUCCUGCAUUGCCAAGGGUAAUGUCCUGCAGGUCUAGCAGGGAGAGAACGUCAAGGGACCCUAGAAGGUCUUUUGAUGUGAGCAGAAAACGAACAGUUCAAGGUGGAGUGUCGGAAGAUGUGGGGGAUGUGAUGAAUGUGGAUCAGAGGAGGGAGAGUCUUAGGGAGGCACUCAGGCUUCGGGGUUUGUUCAACCACCCCAAUACCCACCCUUUUCACAGAAUCCCGGGUAUUCAAUGGGAGGUACAUCGGAUUACCCCAGUUUUAACCCUUAUCCUUCUCACAUGCCAUACCCAUCUUUCUACCCACCAUACUCACAGUACCCUAUGUACCCACCCCCAUCUUUCUAUCCAGGUACAGCAAACCCUAACCCAGGGGAUGUUGCAUCUCCUUCACCACUAGAAGAACCUGUAGUCCCAGAAGCCCAAGUACCUAAACCUAGCUCAUCUGGAGGGAGCAAGGUCAAAAUGACUGAUUACUUGAAGUUGGAUGCUCCUAAGUAUGAAACAGGUGAUGACUCGUUUGAGUACCUCAGGACGGUCAAGAUUAUUACAGAUGAGUUAGGGGCUGAUGAUAGUAGAGCCAUUCAGAUGGCUGGGUUCACACUGAAGUGCAAGAAGGCCCGUGAGUGGUUUAAAAAUUAUGUGAACCCGAGAGUGGAUAGUCUAUCAUGGGAGGAGUUUGCUAAUGAGUUUGCUGGAUGGGCUUUCCCUGAUAGCUCAAGGGAGUUGAAGAUGAUUGAGUUCGAACAGUUGAGGCAGACAGAGGAAAUGAGUGUAGAUGAGUACACAGAUAGGUUCUUGGAGCUGUUGCCGUUUGCAUGGCAAAAUCUUGACACAGAUCAGAAGAAGGCUAGGAGGUAUAUCAUGAGGCUUCAUUCCAGGUAUUCCUCCUUGAUCCAGUCAGUAGAGAGGGAGAGUUUCCAUGCCAUUGUGGAUAUGGCCUGGAGAAUGGAGGCUAGUGCAAUAAUAGAAGGGAAAGUCAGGCAGUCAGUGGCACAGCCUUCUGGUUCCAAGACCCCAGGUGGGGGAAGGUUAGACCCUUCUUUUCUGAGUUCAGCAGCUUCAGGCAGUAAGUGGUGAGGCAGUUCUUCGAGCUCAUUAAUGAAGGUUUGCAGUUGGAGUUGUCUGGUACAGGUGCUUUGAUAGCCCAGAUGAGAGUGACACCCGUGUUUCUGAAGCAGGUGGCUCAGAAAUAGCACGAGGACCCAGAGUUAGUGAAGAUUGCCAGGACCGUUCAGUCAGGCAAGAACGAAGAGUUUAGAUUUGACAGCAAAGGGAUCCUCCGCUAUGGGAAUAGAUUGUGUGUACCAGAUGACGUGGGUCUGAAGGGAGACAUUAUGAGGGAAGCUCAUAAUUCCAGAUACAGUGUUCACCCUGGAGCCACCAAAAUGUACCAGGAUCUAAAAAGGGUCUAUUGGUGGCCAGCUAUGAAAAGAGAAGUGGCACAGUUCGUGUCAACCUACGAAGUAUGUCAGAGGGUGAAACUGGAACAUCAGAAGCAGGUUGGAAUGCUUAACCCACUGUCGAUUCCAGAGUGGAAAUGGGAGAAUAUCGCUAUGGACUUCGUGGUGGGGCUACCGGCAACAUCCAACAGAUUAGACUCCAUAUGGGUGAUUGUGGACAGACUGACCAAAUCUGCUCACUUCAUUCCUGUCAAGAGUGGCUAUUCUGUGGACAAGUUGGCGCAGGUGUAUGUUGAUGAAGUUGUCAGGUUGCAUGGGGCUCCUGUUUCAAUAGUGUCUGAUAGAGGACCCCAGUUCACCUCCAGGUUUUGGCGGAGUCUGCAGAACACUAUGGGUACCAGGUUGGAUUUUAGCACUGCUUUCCAUCCUCAGACUGAUGGACAGUCAGAGAGGACCAUCUAGACUAUAGAAGAUAUGCUCAGAAUGUGUGUGCUAGAUUUUGGCGGUUCUUGGAGGCAGCAUCUACACUUGGUGGAGUUUGCCUACAAUAACAGCUAUCAUGCUAGCAUAAGGAUGGCUCCAUAUGAAGCUUUGUAUGGGAGGAAGUGCAGGUCACCUGUCUGUUGGGAAGAAGUUGGGGAAAUGUCCUUAGCAGGGCCUGAGUUAGUAGAGAUCACCAGCAGAGUGGUGCCCAUUAUCAGAGAAAGGAUCAGAACUGCUGCCAGUCGACAGAAAAGUUAUGCAGAUGUCCGCAGAAGACAAGUAGAGUUUCAGGAGGGGGAUUUGGUAUUGCUCAAGGUGUCUCCUAUGAAAGGGGUGAUUCGGUUUGGGAAGAAAGGUAAGCUAGCUCCGCGGUACAUCGGACCCUUUGAAAUCUUGUAAAAGAUCGGGAAUGUAUCGUAUAAGCUGGAUUUACCUGCUUCUAUGGAGAGAAUCCAUCCGGUUUUCCAUGUUUCCAUGUUAAGGAAGUUCGUGUCAAAUCCGGGCAAGGUUCUUAGCGAGCCUGAUGUGGAAAUCCAAGAAGAUCUCACUUAUGUUGAAUAGCCAGUACGGAUCCUAGACACCUAGAUCAGAAAGCUAAGGAACAAGGAAAUCCCGAUGGUGAAAGUCCUUUGGAAUCACCACAACAUCGAGUAGUAUACCUGGGAGACACGGGAGUCUAUGCUCCAGCAGUAUCCUCAUCUCUUCUAAGGUGAGUGUUAUCUGUUUUGUAUGUAUGUUUAUGUUUGAUGUUAUGCAUGCUUGUUUGGUGAACAUUCGGGGACGAAUGUUCUUAAGGAGGGAAGAAUGUAAUACCCAGCUAGACUCCGAUAUCAGAAUUCCUACCGUCCGGUGGAAUCUCGGAUGUCGAAAACCUCUAGAAGGGUAAAAUCAUGUUUUUAUAAAAUGUUUUCAUGUAUUUUAUGGUUUUAAGUAAGAAAGAAAUUGAGUUUUGAAUGAAAAAGACCAUGGAGGGAAAUCCAGGUUCGGCUGCCGAACCUCAUGUUCGGCCGCCGAACUUGCAUGAGUUUUGGAGGCACUUUAGGCUUCCGAAGGUGGCCUGGCCAGCCCCUAUAAGAAGCCCCAUGUCCGAAAAUGGGCGAGUUUCUUCCUCAUUUCCGGCCAGAGGUGAGUCCAUGCUCUCCCAUGGUUGAUUUUGAUGAUUUUCCUCAAAUCUUUCAAGUUUUAACAAGUAUUUACUUGGUUUUUGAAGUUUUUGGAACUAAGAUAAAGUUGUGGAGCUUGGAGACUCAAUGAGCUAGAUUUCUCCUACCUCCAAGUUAAGGAUCGUUUCUCCUCUCGAUUUUCAAGAGAUAAGCUUAGAUCCUAUCAUUCUUGUAUGUUUUAAGCAAGUUUUAUGAUGGUUUGGAGGAUAGAGAUGCAUGUUGAGGUUGGUUGAUUGUUGAUAGGUUUAUGUUGAGUUUGUGGUUAAUGUAUGUUAUUUUGAGUUGUUUUUGUGUGUUGUUGGGGUUUAGGUUAGUUUGAGACCCCUAUAUGCUUAUUUGCUGGUGUAUGCAUGUUGUAGAAUAGCUAAAUGCAUGUUUGAUUGGUUUGGGAGGCAAAAUGUGCAUGAGGAGGCUGAGUUUUGCCCUUUGAAAGAACUCAGGUUCGGCAGCCGAAGGCACUUUCGGCCGCCGAACCUGCCUGCGGAGGCAAGCCUUUGGCUGCCAAACCCUGCCCCCGAAAGUGGACUUUCAGCUCUGGAGGGGAGUUUCGGCCGCCGAAGGUGCUGCCGAACAUGCAUGAGUUUCGGCUCUGGAACCAUUUUCGGCCGCCGAAGGUGGCUGAGUUUCGGCUCUGGAGGGACUUUCGGCUGCCGAACCUGCCGCCGAAAGUGCCCUGUUCAGCCUUCCUUUGCAUGAUUUCUAUGAUUGUUUUAAGGUGUUUUAGGGGGUGUUUGGGGAGUAUUUUAGAGUCAUGUUCAUGUAUGUUUGGUCCCUCAUUUGAGUCCACCUGUGUAGGUUCGGACCCGAGGAACCGAGGACUCCAGCAGUGAGAUAGCUGCUUCAGUGUCUUUUCAGAGCUAGCUUGAGGUGAGUGGAAUGGACCUUUAUUUCCAAAACAAAUAAACAAAUUUGAGCAUGUUCAUGCAUCACGAAUGCCAUGUGAUAUUUUAGGUUGUUUGCAUUAGAAUUCACGAAUAUGUUGCAUUGCAUAUUAUGUUGUUGAUGAGGAUGAACAUUGAGUAAUCCAUUACCCCUUGUAUGGUAUGGUAUGAUAUGAUGAUGACAUGAUAUGAUAUGGUAUGGUAUGUAAAACCAGUGAGGCCCAUUCUACGCCCCUGGCAUGAUGUAAGAGAAAGACCAGUGAGGCCCAUGCUACGCCCCUGGCACGUUAGUAUGUUAUGUUAUGUUAUGCUAGGUUAAGAGAAAGACCAGUGAGGCCCAUUCUACGCCCCUGGCACGAUUGGAAUGUGUAGAGGGCUAUUGGUGACAAGUUCAUCCUUGAUGUGAUUUGUCUGUGAUGUGAUGCAUUCCAUGAUAGCAUAUGUUUUAAAUGUUUUUACUAUUCUGCUCACUGGGCUUUAGUAGCUCACCCCACUCCCUUAACCCCAGGUUUGCAGGUACGGAAUAGACCAGGAUGUCAGCAGGAGUAAAGUCAUGUUUAUGUAAUAGCUAGUUGUGGACAUGAAAAAGUACAGUAAUAUAAUGUAAUGAUGUUUAUUGAGGUUUAGAGUUGUGCUUGACCCUAGUAUGUUGGUUAAUCCCUUUUUAGUACAUGAUCUUUUAAUGAAAUGAUUUAUUGAUGUUUAUGUAAACCAAGCUUAAUGUAUGAUAUGUUGCCCCAUUGGAGCAUUUGAUGAGGGCUCCAGUGUGGGGUUUUAUGUUUAUGAGUUUGUGCAUGCACAGGUUAAGCUUGGUAAAUGAAUGAAAAAGUUUAAAGUUUUUAUGUAUGUGUUUGAUCAUAUAUGGGAUUUAACAGGUAUACAGGAUGUAUGUUAGGCUUGCUACGGGUCCCGGCGGCCUUAUGCCAAUCUGGAUCCUAGAGCCGGUAGCGGUCCGGUUUCCGGAUCGUUAUAAAAACCAUCUUAUAAAAGCUCUUCUUCUUCCCCAAAUACCAUUUUUACUAUCUCUUGUGAUCCUUUGCUUUCAAAAAAACUCGUUCAUAACUUCUUUUCUGCUUAUACUGCUUACGGUAAUUUUAUGUUUUCCUUCAGUAUGAACAGAAAUACUUCUUCUUCCAUUUCCCUCAGCCUGGGUUCUAUCUCUAGUUUCUCUUUUGAUGGCCCCAUUCGUGCCUCGGCCCCUAUCAUUCUGUUAAAGGAGGCUCUGAAAAGCGAAGAUGGCUUGAUUAGUGAUACCCUAUCUGUCCUCUCGGAAAGUGAUGUAGACUGUCUCUAUGAUACCUAUCAAAUUUCUCGAGAGGUUUUUCGUGUCUUUGCUCCUCCACGUGCCCAUAUGUGUAACGACCCGGAAACCGGAUUGCUAUCGGCGCUAGGAUCCAGAUCGACUUAAGGUCGCCGGAACCCGUAGCAAGCCUACUAUACAACCUGUACACCUGAUAAAAUCCCAUACAUGAUCAUACAUUUUCAUAAAAACUUUAAACUUUCCAUAUACCAAGCUUGACCCGUGCAUACACCAUACUGUAUAUAUAAAACCCCAUACUAGAGCCCUCAUCAAAUGCUCUAGUGGGGCAACAUAACAUAAGUCAAGCCUGGUUCAACAUAACUCAUCAUUAAAACAUUUCAUAAGAUCAUGUACAAAAGGGAUUAAUCAUACAUUAGGGCCAAGCACAAUACUAAUCCUCAUUACAACACUGAACAAUACCUUUCAUUACAUUACAUUAAUUUACAUAUCAUGUCCACUUCUAAUCUAUUACAAUAACACAGCUUUUACCCUUGACGACUUCCCGGUCUAUCCUGAACCUGCAAACCUGGGGGUUAGGGAAAGGGGUGAGCUACUAAAACCCAGUGAGCAGAACAAUAAAACAAUUUAAAUAUCACAUGCUUUUAUGAAAUGCAUCACAAUACAAGUAAAUCACCUUAAGAUGGUAUUGUCACCAAUAGCCCUCUACAUAUCCAAUAAAUGCCCGGCCCUCGACGGAGCUCCUCAGGACUUCCUCUUAAACAUAACAUAAUAUGUCCAACUGUGCCAGGGGCUUAGAAUGGGCAACCCUGGUGUUUCCCUUACUCUGUGCCAGAGGCGUAGAAUGGGCAACCCUAGUCUUUCCGUACCAUAUCAUAUCAUAUCAUAUCAAGGACUAAUGGAUCAUCCAAUGACCAUCCACAUCAACAUCAAAUUACGUAAUGCAUCAUAUUCGUGAAUUCUAAUGCAACAACCUAUAACCAUGGUAAUCGUGAUGCAUAAACAUGCUUAGGAGUUUAAUUACUUUUAAAAUAGAAAGUAGUUCUGUUCUACUCACCUCUGGCAGAUACUGGACUGACUCUGAAGCAGCUAUCUCACUGCUGGACUCUUCGGUUCCUCGGGUCUGAUCCUACACAGGUGUACUCAAAUGAGGGACCAAACAUACUCUAACAUGACUUUAAACAUCUCUCCAAAAACCCCUAAAACAUCAUAAAAUAUUCAUAGAAAACAUGCAAAGGAAGGCUGGACAGGGCACUUUCGGCGGCAGGUUCGGCGGCCGAAAGUCCCUCUAGAGCCGAAAGUCAGGCACUUUCGGGGGCAGGGUUCGGCGGCCGAAAGUCUUUCUAGAGCCGAAAGUCACCCACUUUCGGGGGCAGGUUAAGUGGCCGAAACUCCCCUCCAGAGCCGAAAGUCCAAACUCUCGAGGGCGAGUUUAGGCGGCCUAAACUGCCUUCCCUGGCAGGUUCGGCGGCCGAACCUGGAUCCUUCUAAAUGGCAGAACUCGAUUUUGCCAUCCCACAUUUAGCCAUCCCAACUUUCCAACAUGCAUUCAACUAUUCUAAAACAUGCAUAAACACUUAUUCAAGCAUAUAGGGGCAUAAAACUAGCCUAUACCCCAACAAACAUCACAUUAAGCAUACAUUUAUCAAUAACCACACAUAAACCCUAACAUUUUACAACUAGCCUAAACAUCCAUCAAAACCCCUUAACCCUUCAUAAAACUUACUUAAAACACGAAAGAAGAGAAGGAUCUACACUUACCUCUUGAAGAUCGAGAGGAGGGUGAUCCAAACUUGGAGAUUGGGAGAAAUCGAGCUCCGGGGGUCUCCAAGCUUCAAAACUCCGAUCUUAGCUCAAAAUCUUAAAAAACAAGUAAAAACUCAUCAAAACUUGAAGGGAUUUGAAGGAAAACAACAAAUCGACUAAGGAAGGGCGAAAUCUCACCUAUGCCCGAAAAUAGAGAGAGAAAACUCUCCCAUUUUCGGACAAGGGGCCUGAUUCGCGGUUGUCGAAGCCGGUCAAAAAUAACCUUUCUGUUUAUCAACAAUUUUUAUAUUUGCAGAUAGUGGUGAAAGGAUCGAAUCCACAGAGAAUUGAGAACUCACCUAUUUCUCUUUUUAUGACCAAGAAAAUAAACUGAAAUGGUAAUAAAUUAAAAAUGAGAUAAAAACUGAAAGCGGGAUAAAACGAGAUAAACUGAAAUUGGGAUCAAAACUGUCAACAAAAUAACAGGGAGGGUUUGAGAUUGAUUGUAG